This is a long non-coding RNA of Oryzias latipes (Japanese medaka), 2226 nucleotides long. RefSeq lists it as uncharacterized. The record is from RefSeq and is a predicted model, not a curated record. NCBI's taxonomy places the organism in Eukaryota, Metazoa, Chordata, Actinopteri, Beloniformes, Adrianichthyidae.
AGAAAUAUAAAUAUAAUAUGAACUUUAAAUACAAAACAAAAACAAACUUUAAUAAUAAAUAAAAGUAAAAGAUUUUAGGUAUCAACACAUUUCAAGGAUCCUAUACAAUAAUGUAUACAACAUCUCAUCAAUUAUGUGUACACCAGUAUACAAUAAUAGCUGUGCAUUCCUUUUUGUCCUCUCGUCAUCAACGUACUUGGUGAAAGUUUUACUUCAUGGAGGGAAAAAUCCAGCUUUGCUGGAUCUUUGAUUGACUCACUACACAGUUUAGGAAAAUUGUCUUCAGCUCUGUAUGAGUUACACGUUUCUGAACUGUAAAACCGAGUUGUGCUUGUUUUAAUGUUGUUCCCUUGUCACAGGAGCAAGCUAGCUGCAGCAGUUUCAGGACUUGGGUGGCUCGUGAAGUAUUGAGGCUCUGUGCCGCAUUAGAUUUGAAUAGCUUCAGACAGACCUCAGUAAAGCCUUUGUACCAGGACACAACGUGAAUUUGAGGUUUAGGUUCCAUAAGUCGCCAAAGGAGGGCGACAAAGUUCUGUAAUGACUAUGAACAGGAACAUGGAGCAUCUUCCACCUGACUGUUUAAUCCCUGGAGCAGGCCACGGAAAAUGUGCCCCAUGUCUUUGUGGCAGAUGACAUCUUCCCCCUGAGAAACGGAGGCUGACACUUCCUGGGAGCAUCCGUCCUUUAGAGAGACAUUUCUUCAAUAAUCGUUUCUCCUGAGCCUGGCUGGUUUUGGCCAAUGCCUUUACACAGUGGUUCUGUAUCUGUGCCCAUCCUGCAGAUGCAGAGCAGUGUGUGAAGAAAACAUGCUUCUCCAAAACUUUAGCAGGUCUUCUACACGACAAACACCUGCAGGGAAGGAGGUUGUGGGCACUGUAGAGGAUUCGCUGCAUGGACUGGAAUGGGUUUCAGAGAAAGCCUUGAGCUGAGAGACUCCUUUGUGAUCCUCUUUUCUGCAGAGGGAGCAAAGCCAUGGCAGCUUCAGAAUAAUGUUCUCUGUCCUCCAAGGACCAACCCACAACGGCUCUUAAGAGCUUGAUACUCUCUAUUUCAGAGUUUUUAGUUUUUAAGGUUUUUCAUCAGUUAAGUAGUUGAUAAGGUAAGUGAUCAAAAAAUGUUAAAUUGUUUUUUUUUUAAAUUAAAGUCAGAACUAACCACACUUGACUGAGGAAUGGUGGAAGAGUGAGGGACGCAGAUGAAGUUCAGGAGAAGGCAGAAAAGGUCUGCUUCAUUCCCUGCUUCAUUUGGUUAAAAAAGACCAUUAUUCUGUGUUUUCCAAAUGUUCUAGAUGAAGCAAAGCAGUGCUGCUUUCAUUAAUUCAUGAAAUUUGACUAAUUCUUCUUUUGUCUGAAGAGGCUACUUGUGCAGAGACGGAAGCAGGCUGAGGGGAAAAUGCUCGGCCUCGGAGCAGCGAGGACGUGGAGGCCGGGACUGGAGCUCCACCAGCAGCUGCUUCACGGGGUUUGAAGACUUCUCCCGGGCUCUUCUCCUCUCACCCCUUGUUGGAGAAACACGUUUUUUAUCAGGAUUGUUAACUUUUGUCAAUUAUGGUUUUUGGUCAAGUUCUGCUGUGAAUCGUCCCUCAGUCACACCAUUUUCAGGUUUGUCAUGAUCCACAGCCGUCUUUAUUUCACUCAAUUACCCUCAGUCUGUCUAUAAAGACUCUUUUAUCCAGGUUGAUUCCAUCAUAGGUUUAGGGGCUGUCAUCAGGACUUUAAAAACUAAGUCCAGAUGACAGCCCCUAAAGAUACUGCUAUGAUACCCUCAGUCUAUUUCAGUGUCUGGUUUUUCGGUUGUUCCUUGUCACGUCAUCUGCUCUUCUCUGCUAUCUUUUUAUUUCUCCAUGGGUUUUUGUCAUGUUUCAGUUUGCUUAUUAAAUGUUUUAAGUUUCUGUCACUAAGCCUGGUCCUCCACCUCUUGUUCCUGACAAUUUGAAACCCCUCAGUUACUGUAUUAAAUCAGCUUUUAAGUCUAUAAAUUAUUGCUAUCAAAUAAAUUCAUUUUAAUAAAAUAUCAAACAAAUCAAUGUUUCUCCUUCAUUUACAUCGAUCAAUAAAAAGAGGUUCCUUAGAUUUUUUUUAAUGUUACGUGUUGGUCAUAGAUCGAGAUGUCACCCUCUUAUGGUGAUUUAUAGAACCUAAGCUUACAAAUGGAGGACAUGAUUAAAGUUCCAUUCAUUGUUUUUAGAUAAUUAUGUUCGGGUCUCUAUGUAAUGCUUUUGGUUAU